Molecule: transfer RNA, 73 nt
Filed under: Chelonia mydas (Green sea turtle)
Lineage: Eukaryota; Metazoa; Chordata; Testudines; Cheloniidae
Rfam family: tRNA
About the family: Transfer RNA (tRNA) molecules are approximately 80 nucleotides in length. Their secondary structure includes four short double-helical elements and three loops (D, anti-codon, and T loops).
Source: Rfam by way of RNAcentral
GCUAAAGUAAUGCAGUCAGGUGUGUGUUAGACUGGAGAUCUAGAGGUUCCUGGUUCAAUCCCAGGCUUUGGCA